GGUUGGAUCAGGCUGUGGGUGCUGACCCUGCUCUCUGCAUCCCCCACAGGGCACCGUCCCAGGGAGGGAGCAGCAGCCGUGCGCGGCGAUGGCGGAGGAGCUCCAGACUCUGAACACGGAUCUGCUGGCCAUCAGGGGGGCGCUGGAGGCGGAUGGCCCUGUGGGGACCCCUGCCACGGCCCUGUGGGGAAGCUGGCCCAGGAGUUCCUGGCCGCGGUUCACGGUUUCCAUGCCCAGUUCGCUCAGUGCCGGCGGAUGCAGGCGGUGGCCCCCGGCGAGCUGGAGGCCCUGCUCCAGGAGGUCUCUGGGGACCCCGGCUGCUGGUUCUACAUCGGCUGCACCCGGGUGCUGACGCACUAUCUCUGGGAGGCUGGGCCGUGGUGCCGGGCUGGCAGCACAGGGCAGCUGGCUACAAGAAAACCUGGACCUACUACUGCCGGCCGGGGCCGGGGGCCGAGCUCUGCACUGUGAGGCACCUGCUGGGCCGGUUCUGUGGCACCCACCCCCACUGCCUCAACGCCUCAUGCGUCAGGAACGGCCCGGCCGGCAUCGUCUUCCUAGUGACCUAUGCCCGGCGGGGCAGCUGGCCGGGGGAGCCUGCUGAGGACAUGGAGGCAGCGCUGCACGGCAUCACUGUCCACUUCCGCCACCGGGGGGCGCUGGCGGACGAGCUGGGGCAGUUUCUCAAGGACGACUUCUGCCAGCUGAUUGGGCGGUACCCGGGCUACCUGGCGCAGUGCCAGGCCAUGAGCCAGAUCCCUCCGGCGCACUUCCCGGGGAGGGCCCGGGAGAUCCUGGCGGGGCUGGGGACGGCGGAGGGGGUCCUGGCAGGCAUGGUACCAGACAAGGUGGUUUCCAUGCGGCCCUGCCUGUGGGAGGUGGGGGCAGGCGAGGCGCAGGCCAGCGAGAAGCUGCACACCUACUUCACCAGGCUGGACGGUGGCCUCGAUGCCAAGUGGCUGCUGGAGGAGAUCUGGGGCCACUCCUGCUGCCUCAACAGCCACCGGUGCUGGGAGGGCAGGGUGGACAGGUGA
This 1034-nucleotide long non-coding RNA is filed under the name Gopherus agassizii (Agassiz's desert tortoise). Its description in RNAcentral is "lncRNA (ENSGAGG00000004291.1)". The record is from RNAcentral. Lineage: Eukaryota; Metazoa; Chordata; Testudines; Testudinidae.